CAGGAAGUAGUUUAAUUAGAAUAUCAGCUUUGGGUGCUGAUGGUGGGGGAGCGAUCCUUCCUUCUUGA
This 68-nucleotide transfer RNA is filed under the name Dinaromys bogdanovi (Balkan snow vole). RNAcentral's name for it is "tRNA-Pro". It matches the Rfam family "tRNA". Rfam says of the family: Transfer RNA (tRNA) molecules are approximately 80 nucleotides in length. Their secondary structure includes four short double-helical elements and three loops (D, anti-codon, and T loops). The record is from RNAcentral. Lineage: Eukaryota; Metazoa; Chordata; Mammalia; Rodentia; Cricetidae.